GAACACAGAAGUUAAGCCCUUCAGCGCCGAUGGUACUUGGCUGGACACGGCCCGGGAGAGUAGGUCGCCGCCGGAU
Molecule: ribosomal RNA, 76 nt
Filed under: Clostridiales bacterium
Lineage: Bacteria; Bacillati; Bacillota; Clostridia; Eubacteriales
Source: RNAcentral